This 210-nucleotide long non-coding RNA is filed under the name Elaeis guineensis (African oil palm). RNAcentral's name for it is "long non-coding RNA (EGUI_LNC013115)". The record is from RNAcentral. Lineage: Eukaryota; Viridiplantae; Streptophyta; Magnoliopsida; Arecales; Arecaceae.
GUUCACCUCGAUCCGAGGCUCGCCCCAGCGGGAAGGAAAACCCCAAGAAGAAGAAGAGGAAACGAAGAAGAACUGAUUCUUCCACCUAUGAAUGGACGAUGGAAGACCGGUGAUGAAAGAAAGACCCUUCCGGGGAUUGAAGAGCCACCACCCUCGGGCCUUAGGAUGGGGUCGGAGGACAAAGAAUGCCCGGAAGAGAGAUUCGAGGGU